CAUAACAAAAAACUAACACAAAUUAAAAGUCACUCAAAUGAAAAUAAAAUCAUCCAUUCGUUCCUAGUAUCAUCAAAAUCGGUCUAUAGGUUUAGGCUUGUUUAUUUGGGUCAUCGGAUAGUCGUGGGAGAUGGAAGCGUUGAUGUUGACGCGGACGAGCGCUGGUGAGCAUCGUUGUCGUUGAACUCCGGUGAUGAAGAGAUUGUGGUGUGUGAUGUCCAUAGUGACGAGGGAACUCCAUGACACAGAUGGACUCGGUGGACGGGGCCUCGGGUGACGGCGUCGACCCCAAGUGGUGGCAGCGACAAAGCUCCGUUGUGCGCGUGGCCAACAACGAUAAACGGCUGGGAAAUGAUGUCUAGGUUGUUGUAUUCGGUGAAUAGGUUCGGCUGGUGGAAGGAAUCUAUACGGAAUGCUCACCUGCGGCGACGGUAGGCUAAAAAACAGCGAAGAUGAGGCUGUGUUGCGGAA
This 471-nucleotide long non-coding RNA is filed under the name Hordeum vulgare. RNAcentral's name for it is "long non-coding RNA (HVUL_LNC003350)". The record is from RNAcentral. Lineage: Eukaryota; Viridiplantae; Streptophyta; Magnoliopsida; Poales; Poaceae.